ACGCUCGACACCUACGGGGGGCAGCAGUGGGGAAUAUUGCACAAUGGGGGAAACCCUGAUGCAGCGACGCCGCGUGGAGGAAGAAGGUCUUCGGAUUGUAAACUCCUGUUGUUGGGGAAAAAGAGGAUGGUACCCAACAAGGAAGUGACGGCUAACUACGUGCCAGCAGCCACGGUAAUCUGAGCGGGCUGGCAAGGC
This 198-nucleotide ribosomal RNA is filed under the name uncultured bacterium. Its description in RNAcentral is "partial 16S ribosomal RNA". It matches the Rfam family "Bacterial small subunit ribosomal RNA", at positions 328 to 539 of the family's 1533-position model. The record is from RNAcentral.